Molecule: long non-coding RNA, 1055 nt
Organism: Bufo bufo (common toad)
Lineage: Eukaryota; Metazoa; Chordata; Amphibia; Anura; Bufonidae
Exons: 3
Source: RefSeq, a predicted model, not a curated record
GAGAAGAUCUACAUCGGAGGAGGCGUCACCUGGGAGGCCCUGGAUGUGAGAGGGAACAUUACAGUAUAUUUGCCCUUGGUCAGAAUCGAAGCCAGGACACCCCCUCACGCUGUAUAGGAAGGCUUGCUUGGGCAUUGGUCAUGACCGCCACUCACUAACAGGUUGUAUGUUGCUGUUCCUUCAGAUUUCAAACCUUUCCACCUUAACAUAUGGGAGCAUGACCUUGGGCUUUCAUUCUCCCCAUCCCAAUUUGAGCUUGCCUACAAGUCCUCUAUUGCCAGAAAAUAUCAAGCAACAUGUUAUAAGUUAUUGCCCCGAUGGUUUCACAUUCCUUCUAAAUCGUGCAACAUAUUCUCAUUGACUUCUCCACUAUGCUGGUGACGCGGUGCAUACUUCAUUUUUUGGGGAUUGUCUGAGAGGUAGGAAACAUCAUACGGUCUCCGAAAUUUCUCAUACUCCUGCAUUUUACCUUUUCUGUCUUUCAGACAUCUCCUUCAAAGCAUACCCCCUGUAGAAAUCUACCGACAACUUUCCUUGUGGGUUCAAAAGGUUGAAGAUAUUCAGAAAAUGGAGGAGCUUUCUGCAUCCCUCCAAAAUACCCAUGGGUCGCUUGGCUCAGCCUGGACUUUUUGGAUCCUCUUUCAGAGCUCCUGAGAUUGCCGGGACCUUUUGGAUUGUAGAUGAGUAUCUGGUUGUAGAUUGCACGUUCUCCUGUCCACGAUGGGACACUGGGUUGGAUCCCAGGGCAACUGUUCUGGUAUUUAAAAAAAAAAACCACUGACGCAAUUUUGUCGCAAGUGACAUUUCUACGCCAUACUUGCCACUUUACAAAAAGAGGGCGUGACAAGAGGGUCUAGCAUAUUUAUCUUUAUUUAUGCCAGUAUACUGGCUUAAGUAACUACAGAAAUUUAUAGCAGCUCGGUAGCUACUUUAGAUUUCUCUUUAUGUGCAAGGAUUGCUGGAGGAUGUGCCUAAUAUAUGACAAGGCCUGUGCCUCGUCAUAAAGUAGGCACGUCCACCGGCAGCACAGCGGAUGUUGUAAAAUGUCAGUCUGU